Molecule: ribosomal RNA, 440 nt
Filed under: uncultured bacterium
Lineage: Bacteria
Description: partial 16S ribosomal RNA
Rfam family: Bacterial small subunit ribosomal RNA
Source: RNAcentral
CCUACGGGUGGCAGCAGUGGGGAAUAUUGCACAAUGGGGGAAACCCUGAUGCAGCGACGCCGCGUGAAGGAUGAAGUAUUUCGGUAUGUAAACUUCUAUCCGCAGGGAAGAAAAUGACGGUACCUGACUAAGAAGCCCCGGCUAACUACGUGCCAGCAGCCGCGGUAAUACGUAGGGGGCUAGCGUUAUCCGGAUUUACUGGGUGUAAAGGGAGCGUAGGUGGUAUUGCAAGUCUGAGGUGAAAACCCGGGGCCCAACCCCGGGAAUGCCUUGGAAACUGGCAGGCUUGAGUGUCGGAGAGGAAAGUGGAAUUCCUAGUGUAGCGGUGAAAUGCGUAGAUAUUAGGAGGAACACCAGUGGCGAAGGCGGCUUGCUGGACGGUGACUGACGUUGAGGCUCGAAAGCGUGGGGAGCAAACAGGAUUAGAUACCCUUGUAGUC